CUGCGGAGACUCCUCCUUCGCUGAACCUGAUGUCUCUAUGGUGAAAGGAAGCCCAAAGUUUAAUUUGAAUUCGGUGCUGAUUGGUUCAGGGGCAGCGUCCUUUCAGCGGCGCUGGAGUUUAACCAAAGCCGUGCGGAGCGUUUCCAAUUAUCAACCUUUCUGUUUUGCUGUCAACGUUGUUUUUUUUAAUCGAGAGGUACUUCUAACCUUUCGCUGUAUGAUCGGACAACAUGAAGGCCUCCUGCGAGUCGAACAUCGAGAACGAUUUAGAGACGUAUCUGAAAGGUUUAAGAGAAAGGGCUAAUGAAAGCAUCCAGAAAUUGAAGUGUACUCUAGAAGAAAAAAAUCAGGCAGAAUCGUCAGAAUCAUCUUCACUAGCUGACACUGUCCAGACAAAUUCAGUAAGUCCGUCAGCGAGGAGACAGUGUCACAGUCAAGUGGCAUGGCAAGAACUAAAGCACAGUCAUGCAGUUAAUGAGCUCCGAGCCCUAUUGCGACAUCAAGAAAUGGAACAACGACCAAGUUCGGCAGCUGCGACCAGCACACAUCCCAUGAGAACCGUAAAUGAUUCGGAUUGUCCCCCAUCCAUUGAUGAUCUUGUACCUAUUAUCAAUGACCAGUCAGAAUAUAUCCAACAUUUGGAGGCAGAAGUCAAGCUUUUCAAGGAGGAACUCUUGAAUGUGAAAGAACGGGUGCAGAUUGUUGUAGUUGAAAAUGAAAAACUUCAUGAGCAACUAAGGGCAAGAGCUGUUCAGGCUACUAUGAAUGCACCAUCUGUCUGUCCUUUAUCACCAAAUUCACAAGCAACUUGUUUAGUGGACCAAAAGGCCGUCAAAAGACCGGAAGUGCUGGAGCCAAUCUCAUUAGCAAAAGACCAAAAUCAGCCAUCUUUUAUUUCGACACAACCAGAGAGCAAAACUGUUACAGAAGAAAUCAAAAAGUUACAGCUAGAAGUGGAAAAUCUUAACGUUCUUUACCAAGGAAAGACUGAAACACUGGAGACUCGGGUUUCAUUACUCAGAAAAGAUCUGUCUGAAUCUCAAAAGGAAUGUCAACAGCUGGAAGAACGAUUAAAGGUUCAAGAAUCUUUGCUUGCAAUAGACAGUUCAGAACGUGUUUCUGGUCUCUGUGUAAAAUGUGCCCAACGUGAGGCAGUUCUGGCCCGGACCCAUAAUGAUACGGAAACGAAGGCGGUUGAGAGAUUAAGGAAAGAACGAGAUGACUUGAUGAAUAUGCUGGCGACUUUGCGAAGCAAUAUGAGUGAAAUGCAGGCCAGGGAAGACUCUGCAUGUCGGCAAGUGAAACAAGCUACGGAAGUAGUAGAAGAAGCUAAUUUGGAGAAAAUACAGGCUCUGGUCCGUUGUGAGCAGCUGAAGAAUGAGAUGUUGCGUCAGAAAGAACGGCUAGAAAGGGAGUUAGCUUCUCAGCAAGAAAAGAUCGCAAUUGCGAAGAAGGCUGUGCAUGAAGAAAUGAGGAAGGAAAGAGAAGCAUUGGCAUCAAAGGUGACCUGUUUGUCAGAAAAUGUUACUUGUCUCGAAGGUCAGUUACAGAGGUUGGUGAGAGAAAGGGAUUCAGCGUGUAAUCAAUUGGAAGAAGCUCAGAACAAGCUAAUAAAUCAUGAGAUGGAGAUCAAUAAGGAAUCUGGUGAACUGCGUUAUCAGCUGAAUGAACUCAAAAUCAAGAAAGAAGAGGCUGAGAAGGAGUUCAGGGAAUACAAAACGAAAAUGAUACGAGAAUUUGAACUCCGAGAACAGGAGCUACAGAAACUUGAAUUGAAACUAAAUGAAACUAAGUGCCAUUUGGAGCAUGUCCAGCAGGAUGCAGCAAGAUCGAAGGAUGAAUGUCUAAAACUGAUGGAACUACUGAGCAAAUCUGAGCACCAACUGCACCUCACCAGGAUGGAAAAGGAUAGUAUACUCCACAGUCACAGUGAUGAUGUCAAGGCCCUGGCCUUUCAAUCCCAACAACGUGAACAAGAGCUAACAGAAAAGAUACAGCAAAUGGAGGCCCAGCAUGAUAAAACUGUUAAUGAACUGGAGAUAUUACUUAGCUCCCAGAAUAAACUGAUAAACAAAUUGAAAGCAGAAUGUCAGACAUUAAACCAAAAACUGGAGAAGAUUACAGAAAAAAACAGAUCAGAGGUUGGCCAACUUUGCCAGGACAAGGAGUAUUUACAGGAUAGAUUAGAGAAACUGCAAGCAAGAAAUGAUGAAAUGGAAAAUCAGUGUAUUCAGCAUGGAACAAUGCAUGAGAGAAUGAAACAGAGACUGCAACAGUUGGACCAGCACAGUCAGGCCAGUGCACAGCAGGUGGUGGAACUACUGCAAAGACAGAAUGAGCUGCUAAAGGAGAGACAAGCCCUGUUGGAAAACGUGCAGUGCCUGAAAUCAUCAGGAAAUGUCACAGGCAAAGAAUCCAAACUUUGAAAGAAACCAGGAAAACACAACAAAUCAGUCAACAUUCACACAGAAAAAUACAGCCUCCUGUUACGUCGUAAGACCAGAGGACCAACAAAUGAUCAACUUUAUGUCAAUCUGCAAAAUUUUAAGAAGUACAUUUUAACUGAUCUGUUUUGUACAUAUUUUUGAUAUUAAAUGAAUAAAUACAGGUAUAUUGUGGAUCAUUAUUAAAACAAGUUAAAAGUGAUUAUUUUGCAUGGGUAUACCACCACGGUGAAGAGUAAUUUGCCCUUAAAGACCAAUAGAUUACAACUUUACUCAUUGUACUGAUUUCAUGUACAAACAGAUGCCUGAUUGCUUUACUUCAGCUGCAGAUAAAUAAACAUGUUCUGAACCUCUUCAGACUCACCUAGUGUUUCUUCAAAUUAUAAAAGUAUUUACUUGAUUAUUAUAAAUUAAUUUGAAACAGAGGCAAUGAUCUGUAUUUUGAAAGAAGUAGAUUUUGCUGAAUGCAUAACAGCAAAAAUGUGCAAAAACACUUGUCAUAAAAAAUGGCAGCAGAACCAUGCAAGUGUAAACCUUUUCAAAUAGAUUUACCUGUUAUGUGACAAAUAACCAGAAUUUCAGACAACUCGAUGUCAGCCUUCUUCAGUAUUUGAUACUGUGCUGAAAAGACAUUUGUAUAAAACAAUAUCUGUGUACAUUGUUUUAAUUGUCUUAAAAUUCUACCUAAUGAAAUUUGUGAUGCUAUCAAUUCAAAAUGCAUGCAUUAAAAUGUCUUUUCCCUAAGUUUAAAA
Molecule: RNA transcript, 3196 nt
Organism: Stegostoma tigrinum
Lineage: Eukaryota; Metazoa; Chordata; Chondrichthyes; Orectolobiformes; Stegostomatidae
Gene: sdccag8
Gene name: SHH signaling and ciliogenesis regulator sdccag8
Exons: 19
Source: RefSeq, a predicted model, not a curated record